RNAcentral lists this ribosomal RNA (500 nucleotides) under Tulasnella sp. HJ20B. RNAcentral describes it as "eukaryotic LSU rRNA". The stretch from base 96 to 257 matches the Rfam family "5.8S ribosomal RNA". The record is from RNAcentral. Lineage: Eukaryota; Fungi; Basidiomycota; Agaricomycetes; Cantharellales; Tulasnellaceae.
GCGCCCCCCGUGGCGCUAGUCCUGGUCCGCUCCGGCGGUCCUCGACAACCCUUUGUAAUCCACGUCAUGCCUAUUCGUAAACCGAGAGAUAAUACAACCAGUAGCGUUGGAUCCCUUGGCACGUCGUUCGAUGAAGACCGUUGCAAAAUGCGAUAAGUGGUGUGAUAUGCAAGUCCAAAACUUAUACGUGAACCAUCGAAUUGUUGAACGCACUGCAUCGAGCCUUACCCAGGAACGAUACGCCCCAUUGAGCGUCAUUAUGUCUUCGCGACUUGUCGUUUUCUAACGAAGCGACCUGUCCGGGUUCGGGAUUCACGGCCUUCCGGUCGCGCUUCCUCAGAUGCAUUGGCUGUGCCGGUGCGAGCGGUGACCUUGUCAUGAAUGUCGAGGUGUGCCAGCGAGCUCCGUACGCAAGAUCCGUCGCAUCGCCGGCGGAUCAGAACGCGUCUUCGGAUGCAAUUUCUCCACAUGACCUCACGGGGGUGGGACGACCCGCUAGA